GUCCACGCCGUAAACGAUGUGUGCUAGACGUUGGGGGCCCUAGGUCCUCGGUGUCGCAGCUAACGCGUUAAGCACACCGCCUGGGGAGUACGGCCGCAAGGUUAAAACUCAAAGGAAUUGACGGGGGCCCGCACAAGCGGUGGAGCAUGUGGUUUAAUUCGACGCAACGCGAAGAACCUUACCAGCCCUUGACAUGGGGAGUAUGGGCGGCAGAGAUGUCGUCCUUCAGUUCGGCUGGCUCCCGCACAGGUGCUGCAUGGCUGUCGU
RNAcentral lists this ribosomal RNA (267 nucleotides) under uncultured bacterium. RNAcentral describes it as "partial 16S ribosomal RNA". It matches the Rfam family "Bacterial small subunit ribosomal RNA", at positions 793 to 1055 of the family's 1533-position model. The record is from RNAcentral.